GAUGAACGCUAGCGACAGGCUUAACACAUGCAAGUCGAGGGGCAGCACAGGUAGCAAUACCGGGUGGCGACCGGCGCACGGGUGAGUAACGCGUAUGCAACUUACCUAUCAGAGGGGGAUAACCCGGCGAAAGUCGGACUAAUACCGCAUGAAGCAGGGGUCCCGCAUGGGGGUAUUUGCUAAAGAUUCAUCGCUGAUAGAUAGGCAUGCGUUCCAUUAGGCAGUUGGCGGGGUAACGGCCCACCAAACCGACGAUGGAUAGGGGUUCUGAGAGGAAGGUCCCCAACGUUGGUACGGAGACACGGACCAAACUCCUACGGGAGGCAGCAGUGGGGAAGAUGGGUCAAUGGCCGAGAGGCUGAGCCAGCCAAGUCGCGUGAGGGAUGAAGGUUCUAUGGUGCGUAAACCUCUGUUGUAAGGGAAUAAAGUGCGGGACGUGUCCCGUUUUGUAUGUACCUUAUGAAUAAGGAUCGGCUAACUCCGUG
RNAcentral lists this ribosomal RNA (485 nucleotides) under uncultured bacterium. Its description in RNAcentral is "partial 16S ribosomal RNA". It matches the Rfam family "Bacterial small subunit ribosomal RNA", at positions 28 to 507 of the family's 1533-position model. The record is from RNAcentral.